RNAcentral lists this ribosomal RNA (493 nucleotides) under uncultured bacterium. RNAcentral's name for it is "partial 16S ribosomal RNA". It matches the Rfam family "Bacterial small subunit ribosomal RNA", at positions 30 to 523 of the family's 1533-position model. The record is from RNAcentral.
AUUGAACGCUGGCGGCAUGCUUUACACAUGCAAGUCGAACGGUAACAGGUUAAGCUGACGAGUGGCGAACGGGUGAGUAAUGCAUCGGAACGUGCCCGGUCGUGGGGGAUAACGCAGCGAAAGCUGCGCUAAUACCGCAUACGAUCUGAGGAUGAAAGCGGGGGACCGUAAGGCCUCGCGCGAUCGGAGCGGCCGAUGUCAGAUUAGGUAGUUGGUGGGGUAAAGGCUCACCAAGCCAACGAUCUGUAACUGGUCUGAGAGGACGACCAGCCACACUGGGACUGAGACACGGCCCAGACUCCUACGGGAGGCAGCAGUGGGGAAUUUUGGACAAUGGGCGAAAGCCUGAUCCAGCAAUGCCGCGUGCAGGAAGAAGGCCUUCGGGUUGUAAACUGCUUUUGUUCGGAGCGAAAAGGUCUCCUCUAAUACAGGGGGCUCAUGACGGUACCGUAAGAAUAAGCACCAGCUAACUACGUGCCAGCAGCCGCCGUAA